Molecule: ribosomal RNA, 1470 nt
Filed under: metagenome
Description: bacterial SSU rRNA
Rfam family: Bacterial small subunit ribosomal RNA
Source: RNAcentral
AGAGUUUGAUCCUGGCUCAGGACGAACGCUGGCGGCACGCUUAACACAUGCAAGUCGAACGAGAGAAGAGGAGCUUGCUUUUCUGAUCUAGUGGCGGACGGGUGAGUAACACGUGAGCAAUCUGCCUUUCAGAGGGGGAUACCGAUUGGAAACGAUCGUUAAUACCGCAUAACAUAAUUGAACCGCAUGAUUUGAUUAUCAAAGAUUUAUCGCUGAAAGAUGAGCUCGCGUCUGAUUAGCUAGUUGGUAAGGUAACGGCUUACCAAGGCGACGAUCAGUAGCCGGACUGAGAGGUUGAUCGGCCACAUUGGGACUGAGACACGGCCCAGACUCCUACGGGAGGCAGCAGUGGGGAAUAUUGCACAAUGGAGGAAACUCUGAUGCAGCGAUGCCGCGUGAGGGAAGAAGGUUUUAGGAUUGUAAACCUCUGUCUUCAGGGACGAAAAAAGACGGUACCUGAGGAGGAAGCUCCGGCUAACUACGUGCCAGCAGCCGCGGUAAUACGUAGGGAGCGAGCGUUGUCCGGAAUUACUGGGUGUAAAGGGAGCGUAGGCGGGAUCGCAAGUCAGAUGUGAAAACUAUGGGCUUAACCCAUAAACUGCAUUUGAAACUGUGGUUCUUGAGUGAAGUAGAGGUAAGCGGAAUUCCUAGUGUAGCGGUGAAAUGCGUAGAUAUUAGGAGGAACAUCAGUGGCGAAGGCGGCUUACUGGGCUUUAACUGACGCUGAGGCUCGAAAGCGUGGGGAGCAAACAGGAUUAGAUACCCUGGUAGUCCACGCCGUAAACGAUGAUUACUAGGUGCGGGGGGACUGACCCCUUCCGUGCCGCAGCAAACGCAAUAAGUAAUCCACCUGGGGAGUACGACCGCAAGGUUGAAACUCAAAGGAAUUGACGGGGGCCCGCACAAGCAGUGGAGUAUGUGGAUUAAUUCGAAGCAACGCGAAGAACCUUACCAGGUCUUGACAUCGUAUGCAUAGCUCAGAGAUGAGUGAAAUCUCUUCGGAGACAUAUAGACAGGUGGUGCAUGGUUGUCGUCAGCUCGUGUCGUGAGAUGUUGGGUUAAGUCCCGCAACGAGCGCAACCCUUACUGUUAGUUGCUACGCAAGAGCACUCUAGCAGGACUGCCGUUGACAAAACGGAGGAAGGUGGGGAUGACGUCAAAUCAUCAUGCCCCUUAUGACCUGGGCCUCACACGUACUACAAUGGCUGUCAACAGAGGGAAGCAAAGCCGCGAGGUGGAGCGAACCCCUAAAAGCAGUCUUAGUUCGGAUUGUAGGCUGCAACCCGCCUACAUGAAGUCGGAAUUGCUAGUAAUCGCAGAUCAGCAUGCUGCGGUGAAUACGUUCCCGGGCCUUGUACACACCGCCCGUCACGCCAUGGGAGUCGGUAACACCCGAAGCCUGUAGUCUAACCGCAAGGAGGACGCAGUCGAAGGUGGGAUUGAUGACUGGGGUGAAGUCGUAACAAGGAA